This 694-nucleotide ribosomal RNA is filed under the name uncultured bacterium. RNAcentral's name for it is "bacterial SSU rRNA". It matches the Rfam family "Bacterial small subunit ribosomal RNA", at positions 32 to 715 of the family's 1533-position model. The record is from RNAcentral.
AACGCUAGCUACAGGCUUAACACAUGCAAGUCGAGGGGUAACGAGAGGAAAGCUUGCUUUCCUUGUCGACGACCGGCGCACGGGUGAGUAACGCGUAUCCAACCUGCCCCCAACUAGGGAAUAACCUUGCGAAAGUAAGACUAAUACCCAAUGAUAUCUCUAGAAGACAUCUGAAAGAGAUUAAAGAUUUAUCGGUGAUGGAUGGGGAUGCGUCUGAUUAGCUUGUUGGCGGGGUAACGGCCCACCAAGGCAACGAUCAGUAGGGGUUCUGAGAGGAAGGUCCCCCACAUUGGAACUGAGACACGGUCCAAACUCCUACGGGAGGCAGCAGUGAGGAAUAUUGGUCAAUGGACGAGAGUCUGAACCAGCCAAGUAGCGUGCAGGAAGACGGCCCUAUGGGUUGUAAACUGCUUUUAUAAGGGAAUAAAGUGAGUCUCGUGAGACUUUUUGCAUGUACCUUAUGAAUAAGGACCGGCUAAUUCCGUGCCAGCAGCCGCGGUAAUACGGAAGGUCCGGGCGUUAUCCGGAUUUAUUGGGUUUAAAGGGAGCGUAGGCCGGAGAUUAAGCGUGUUGUGAAAUGUAGAUGCUCAACAUCUGAACUGCAGCGCGAACUGGUUUCCUUGAGUACGCACAAAGUGGGCGGAAUUCGUGGUGUAGCGGUGAAAUGCUUAGAUAUCACGAAGAACUCCGAUUG